This is an RNA transcript of Propithecus coquereli (Coquerel's sifaka), 1760 nucleotides long. It is a transcript of the gene named isocitrate dehydrogenase 2 (NADP+), mitochondrial, with no coding region annotated. NCBI's taxonomy places the organism in Eukaryota, Metazoa, Chordata, Mammalia, Primates, Indriidae. The record is from RefSeq and is a predicted model, not a curated record. The transcript is spliced from 12 exons.
CCAGGCGCCCAGGGAGCGGCCCGCGCUCGGAUCUCGCCCGCCUGCGCGCGCGCUCGCCUGCUCGGGAUGGCCGGCUACCUGCGGGCCGCGCGCUCGCUCUGCAGAGCCCCGGGCACGGCCUGGGCGCCGGCGGCCCUGACAGCCCCCACCGCGCGAGAGCAGCCGCGGCGCCACUAUGCUGACAAGAGGAUCAAAGUGGCGAAGCCGGUGGUGGAGAUGGAUGGUGAUGAGAUGACCCGGAUCAUCUGGCAGUUCAUCAAGGAGAAGCUCAUCCUGCCCCACGUGGACGUCCAGCUCAAGUAUUUUGACCUUGGGCUCCCAAACCGUGACCAGACCAACGACCAGGUCACCAUCGACUCUGCAUUGGCCACCCAGAAGUACCACGUGGCUGUCAAGUGUGCCACCAUCACCCCUGAUGAGGCCCGCGUGGAAGAGUUCAAACUGAAGAAGAUGUGGAAAAGUCCGAAUGGAACCAUCCGGAACAUCCUUGGGGGGACUGUCUUCCGGGAGCCCAUCAUCUGCAAAAACAUCCCACGCCUCGUGCCUGGCUGGACCAAGCCUAUCACCAUUGGCAGGCAUGCCCAUGGCGACCAGUACAAGGCCACAGACUUCGUGGCGGAUCGCGCUGGCACGUUCAAGAUGGUCUUCACCCCGAAGGACGGCAGCAGUGCCAAGGAGUGGGAGGUGUACAACUUCCCUGCGGGUGGCGUGGGCAUGGGCAUGUACAACACCGACGAGUCCAUCUCGGGCUUUGCGCACAGCUGCUUCCAGUACGCCAUCCAGAAGAAGUGGCCGCUGUACAUGAGCACCAAGAACACCAUUCUGAAAGCCUACGACGGGCGUUUCAAGGACAUCUUCCAGGAGAUCUUUGACAAGCACUAUAAGACGGACUUCGACAAGAAUAAGAUCUGGUAUGAGCACCGGCUCAUUGACGACAUGGUGGCUCAGGUCCUCAAGUCUUCGGGCGGCUUCGUGUGGGCUUGCAAGAACUAUGACGGAGACGUGCAGUCAGACAUCCUGGCCCAGGGUUUCGGCUCCCUGGGCCUGAUGACCUCUGUGCUGGUCUGCCCGGAUGGGAAGACCAUUGAGGCUGAGGCGGCUCACGGGACAGUCACCCGCCACUAUCGGGAGCACCAGAAGGGCCGGCCAACCAGCACCAACCCCAUCGCCAGCAUCUUCGCCUGGACGCGUGGCCUGGAGCACCGGGGCAAGCUGGACGGGAGCCAGGACCUCAUCAGGUUUGCCCAGACCCUGGAGAAGGUGUGCGUCGAGACAGUGGAGAGUGGAGCCAUGACCAAGGACCUGGCGGGCUGCAUCCAUGGCCUCAGCAACGUGAAGCUGAACGAGCACUUCCUGAACACCACGGACUUCCUGGACACCAUCAAGAGCAACCUGGACAGAGCUCUGGGCAAGCAGUAGGGAGGCGCUGGCCAGCUGCCGCGGUGGCCAGGCCGCGGCGGGUCCUCCGACACGCGGCGGAGGGAUCGUCCUCUCUCUAUGCAAUGAUCGCCUUCCACUUUUUGGUGUGAAAACGUCCAGGGGAAGAGUGGCAUCAUCUCUGCGAAGUCCUUUUCCUAAAUACUGGGGGGACUCUGAAACCCGGCGGCUGGGAACCAUCACUGCAGACUCCAGCGGCUUUGGGAUGGGCUCCCGCCCCCCGCCCACAUCAGCAGCCCCUUCCUCUCAGCUCCCAGGCAGUAGGGAAAGUGAGUGCUGGCUCUGGCUUCCUGCCUUCUUUUGCCUGUCACCAGAAAAGGGCU